Molecule: small nuclear RNA, 132 nt
Filed under: Pseudocercospora musae
Lineage: Eukaryota; Fungi; Ascomycota; Dothideomycetes; Mycosphaerellales; Mycosphaerellaceae
Description: Mycosphaerella musicola U4 spliceosomal RNA
Rfam family: U4 spliceosomal RNA
About the family: U4 small nuclear RNA (U4 snRNA) is a component of the major U2-dependent spliceosome. The structure of U4 snRNA from yeast and human has been reported.
Source: Rfam by way of RNAcentral
GACAUUCACAUAGGGCAUUACGCAUAUCAGUGAGGAUUCGUCCGAGAUUGCGUUUUUGCUAGUUGAAAACUAUCAACUGACCGCUCUCGUCGGUCUUCGGAUCGGCGAGGAAUUUUUUGACACAACGACUUC